UACGUAGGUGGCAAGCGUUGUCCGGAUUUAUUGGGCGUAAAGCGCGCGCAGGUGGUUUCUUAAGUCUGAUGUGAAAGCCCACGGCUCAACCGUGGAGGGUCAUUGGAAACUGGGAGACUUGAGUGCAGAAGAGGAAAGUGGAAUUCCAAGUGUAGCGGUGAAAUGCGUAGAGAUUUGGAGGAACACCAGUGGCGAAGGCGACUUUCUGGUCUGUAACUGACGCUGAGGCGCGAAAAGCAUGGGGGAGCAAACAGG
RNAcentral lists this ribosomal RNA (255 nucleotides) under uncultured bacterium. RNAcentral's name for it is "partial 16S ribosomal RNA". It matches the Rfam family "Bacterial small subunit ribosomal RNA", at positions 524 to 776 of the family's 1533-position model. The record is from RNAcentral.